This 367-nucleotide ribosomal RNA is filed under the name uncultured organism. Its description in RNAcentral is "partial 16S ribosomal RNA". It matches the Rfam family "Bacterial small subunit ribosomal RNA", at positions 527 to 896 of the family's 1533-position model. The record is from RNAcentral.
GUAGGGGGCAAGCGUUAUCCGGAAUCACUGGGCGUAAAGGGAGCGUAGGCGGUUUGACAAGCCAGAGGUGAAAGGCAAUAGCUUAACUAUUGUAAGCCUUUGGAACUGUCGAACUUGAGUGUAGGAGAGGAAAGUGGAAUUCCUAGUGUAGCGGUGAAAUGCGUAGAUAUUAGGAGGAACACCAGUGGCGAAGGCGACUUUCUGGACUAUAACUGACGCUGAGGCUCGAAAGCGUGGGGAGCAAACAGGAUUAGAUACCCUGGUAGUCCACGCUGUAAACGAUGAAUACUAGGUGUCUGGGGUCAAACCUAGGUGCCGCAGCUAACGCAUUAAGUAUUCCGCCUGGGGGAGUACGCACGCAAGUGUG